AGGGUGUAAACGCUGCAGACUUGGUGUUGGAGGCCCUUUGGGGGCAUUCAGUGCCGGAGAGAAGUUGUUAAGUCUGCUACUUGGGGGAGUACGUCCGCAAGGAUGAAACUUAAAGGAAUUGGCGGGGGGAGCACCGCAACGGGAGGAGCGUGCGGUUUAAUUGGAUUCAACACCGUAAAACUCACCAGGGAAGACUGUUACAUGAAGGCCGAGAUGAAGACUCUGCUAGAUUUUCAGAGAGGAGGUGCAUGGCGUCAGUGACU
This 263-nucleotide ribosomal RNA is filed under the name uncultured archaeon. Its description in RNAcentral is "partial 16S ribosomal RNA". It matches the Rfam family "Archaeal small subunit ribosomal RNA", at positions 748 to 1008 of the family's 1478-position model. The record is from RNAcentral.